AGAGGUCUCGCCUGCCCUGUGACCAUGAGUUUAACGGCCGCGGUAUUUUGACCGUGCAAAGGUAGCGCAAUCACUUGUCUUUUAAAUGAAGACCUGUAUGAAUGGCAUAACGAGGGCUUAACUGUCUCCCUUUUCCAGUCAAUGAAAUUGAUCUCCCCGUGCAGAAGCGGGGAUUAAAACAUAAGACGAGAAGACCCUAUGGAGCUUUAGACAAAGAGCAGACCAUGUUAAACACACCUAAAUAAAGGACAAAACCAAUUGGCCCCUGCCCUUAUGUCUUUGGUUGGGGCGACCGCGGGGAAACAAAAAACCCCCAUGUGGACUGAAGACAUUCCUCUUCACAACCAAGAGCCACAGCUCUAAGCAACAGAACAUCUGACCAACAAGAUCCGGCACUAAGCCGAUCAACGGACCGAGUUACCCUAGGGAUAACAGCGCAAUCUCCUUUUAGAGCCCCCAUCGACAAGGAGGUUUACGACCUCGAUGUUGGAUCAGGACAUCCUAAUGGUGCAGCCGCUAUUAAGGG
This 526-nucleotide ribosomal RNA is filed under the name Pseudetroplus maculatus (orange chromide). RNAcentral describes it as "partial 16S ribosomal RNA". It matches the Rfam family "Bacterial large subunit ribosomal RNA", at positions 1848 to 2571 of the family's 2925-position model. Lineage: Eukaryota; Metazoa; Chordata; Actinopteri; Cichliformes; Cichlidae. The record is from RNAcentral.